AUUCAAAGGUUGUUGCAGAUUUUGUGAAAACUAAUAUCUUUGCUAGGUUUGGCAUGCCUAGAGUUCUCAUUAGUGAUGGAGGCAACCCAUGGAAAUAAAGAAGACCUAGGAAUUUCCGACUCCAAAACCAGGUGUUUGCGUUCUUUAACCCUCCUCUCUGUUGCUUUUACUUUGCCAUGUUUAUCAUGUUUCCUCGUUGUUUGUUUGUUUGCUUUUGUGUGAGUUUAUGUUUGAAACAUUGAGGACAAUGUUAGAUUUAAGUGUGGGGGGGGUAAACAAGUUGCUGUUGCAUGAUUUUCGUGGGAUUUUAUUCACCUAUCACUUACAAUGUUGUUCUUUGCUGUUUUAAGUGUUUUUAGUGUGUUUUUAAGCAUGUUAGUAUGUUUUGACAUAAAAAUCCGAAAAUUUGACAAAAAUUUGAAAAAAAAAUUGUUUUGAAAAAGCCAAAAAGAGUUGUUUUUGUGUGUUUGUUUGUGUCUUAGGGUACCUUCCAACACAAAUAAUGAGGAUUUGGUUUUUAAUUGCAUGACUGUUAAAGAAAGUUAUAAACAUGGAUGGAAGUUUGAUAUGCUCUUGAUUUAAUGCUUGGUUAUAGUUAUAGUUUACGAAUUCACAUGUAAUCACAAAGAAAAAAAAUCAGUUUUUGUAACAUGCUUGAAGGAAGGAACUCAAACUAACACUACAACCUUGAGAGACUUGAGCCUAAUACGUUCUUUGGAGAGUUAUUAAUCUGUGCAUUUUUGUUUUCUAAAGUCGUUGCAUGAUCUCAUCAUUGUUUGCUUGGUUGCUACUUAGAAGGCGUUUCAUCAUUUAGUUCCAAAUACUAGAACUUAUGCCCGUUCCAUUCAAAGCAUGACAUUGAUUUGCAUAACACAUAUUCAAGAUGAAGUUGUGUAGUAAACUAGAGCCAAAAAGCUUAUCCCGUGCAUAUUUGUUUAAGUUUAACCCCGUUGAGCCUUGUUUAGCCUGUUUUCUUUGUUAAACCACAUUUCCCUUACCUAGCCUAGAUUAGGACUAUCCAUACCCUUGUUUUUAAAGCAUAAUGAAGCAUGACUUAAAAUGAAUUCCUUUUGAUUGUCCUUAUGCAGAAAACAAGUGUGGGGGAAUGAGAUUUUUGUGUUUUGUGUGCCAAAAGAAAGUAAUAAGGCACGGGUUAGAAAAGAAAAAGAAAAAAAAAAGAAAAGAAAAAGAGUUUGAAAUAAGUGAGGAAAGGCUCACAAGUUUUGUUUGUAGUUGAAAUCGGCCCUAAAAAGUUGAAUGAAUAACCCCAUUGUGUUUAAAGUUAGUUGCUGCAUUCAAAGGGAAUUCUAAGCAUCAAUUUCAUUACUUUGCUUAUUAUGCUUUAAAAACGUUUGUUUCCCUACCUUUCAUUGUUAGCCAAUCACCCCUAACCCCGUUACAACCCUUAACUUCAAUCUUGAGUGUUAUGUGUUUCAAUAUGUGGAGUUUGGGAUUGGUACGAGCAUAUGGUGUCCCUGGUUCUCGCAUCUAAGUAGUAGCAUUCCAGUCAUGAGAUCAUAUCUAUACAUGCUUAAUAACUCCAGAAAUUGCUUUCUUUGCUAUAAACAUAUGUGAGUGUUCGUUUUCAUGUUUACAUCAAUCUUCUCACAUACAUCUAGUGUAGGGUAAAUAGUCAGAAAAUCAGAGUGAAAAUAAGAGUGUAUCUUGUAAGGAAUUGAGCAAAUUCUCUAAGGCAUGUUACUACAUUCAAAACAUCGUUUUAAUUGGUUAUAUGUGAACUAGUAUGUGGUGACUUUGAUUAAGUAUGUGCUCAAGGGUAGGGAAGGCAAAAAUCUGUGGUUAUGAUGAUCUUUUGCAUGUCAUGUUGCAUUGAAAAUCCCUAAGGUAAUUGUUGGAAGGUUUAGGUUUUGUUUUGUUCUUAUGUUUUGUUUCUUUGUUUUGCUCGAGGACUAGCAAAAGCUAAGUGUGGGGGAAUUUGAUAGGAGCAUAUUUAUGCGACUUAGUAUGUUUGUUUUCGUGCAUUUAUGUUCUUAGUUCUUAGUUAUGUUAGUAGUUUAAGCCAUUUUUGUGUGUUUGUAGGUUCUUUGGGCCAAGGAUGCAAGAAGGUGCAUUUUGGAGCACUUUGGAGCAUUUUUGGGCCAAGAUUGGAUGGUGCAAACAUGGAGACAUGAGGAUGGACGAAUUUGAUGAUUCAAUGGGCUAGAAAUCUACAUGUGUGUGUGCAAAGUGUUGGCCUACAACUUCAAACAUCAUAGCUGCCAUGUGAUGGCAGAAAAUGUGUUUAUUGCUAGCUAAAUGGAUGAAGAACAUGCAUGUGCAAGUAUAAACACCACAUGGGCAGCAAGAAGGAAAGAAAACAGCAACACACACACCACAUGGGCAGCAAGGAAUCAGAAAUUAAAGCAUGGAAGAGUGGGAAGUGAUGAUGACAACACAAACACACACACACGGCAAUGGAAUGGAGUUGGCAGAUUUCUACAACUUUGGUAGUGAAUGGACAGCAAGGAAUGGCAGAAAUUGGACCACUAUGAGGUGGAUUUCUGGUUGGUCUUCCACUUAUAACUUUGGGUGGCUUUGGAAUGAUUGUUUCUAGGUGGAAAGAGCACAAAAACAGCACACACACAUGCAAAAACAAAGCUGGCAGCAUCCUUUCUUCUUUGCCGUGAGUUGUCAUGUCCAUUGCCUUGCAAUUCUUUUCAUUUCCAACCUCUAUAUAAGCACCAUUCAGCCUUCAAGGAAGACACACAGAAAUUCAUACACAUUUCCAUUAGUUCCAAGGCUUGCAAAGAAGGAGGAGUGCUUGGAGUUGUGCUAGCCAUUCCAUUGGAGUUGUUGGAGCAUUCUAGGUGUAUUCUACUUUGUUUCUCUAUGUUUAAUAUCAAUUGUUUUUGUUUAAUUGCAAGUAUGAGGAACUAAACCCUUUAGCUAGGGGGUGAUUCGAAACUAUGUUUAUGCUUGCAAUAUGAAUUGAUUACCUUUGGUUGGAAUUUCAUAAGUUGUGGAUUCAAUUUGUUUAACCAUUUGAUUGAUAACUUAUUUAUGUAUGUUUAUUGAGAGUGCACGCUUAAUUUUCAUGCAUAAACAUGACACUAGAAUAUAAGUGAGUUUCACCUAAUCGUUAUGAACUUAUAUUCACAAGUAGUGGAGGUUGCUUAUAAACAAUCGCGUUAAAUGAAUUCUUGGCACUAGUUUCAUGCUUUUCAUAGUAACGAAUGCCUCGUCAACACUUAUAGUUUUCAUGAUGCUUAAUGAUCUUUGAUUGUAUCUUUAUUGUGCUUUUCACGUAAAGGACUUUUGGAGAAUGUUGUGAAUUGCGUUGCGCAAACCCAUCCAAUUCAUUAACUUAAGGAGAACUUGACGGUUAAUUUAAGCGGACCUAAUUAACCUAGGGUGUUGAGUUUCAUAAUUUAUCGAAAGACCAACUGAGAAUCGAUCUUGUAUUGCAAGUGUGACAUGUGUGGAGAAGAACCCCUUAAGCUAUUCCAUCAUCCAUAUUUUUCAUCGCAUUUAUAUUUACAUUUUGCCCUUAAUUAUAAUCUGUCCAUUUAAUUUAAUCUCGUCAAAAACAACUCAAUUCCCCCUCCCCAUAUUUUGUUAAAGUCUUAGUCGUUCAAAUCUAUCUUAUUUUAUGCUUUUAAGUAUUUGGAGUCUUUUGAACUUGUUUUGAGUCUUUUGGUUUGUCUUAGUGUUUUAAAAGUUAGUUUUAUUUAUUUGAGUCAAGUGUUUAGCACCCCUAGUUAAUCCCCGGUUAGAACGAUCCCUACUUACAUCAUUACUACAAUUGUCACAAAUAGGGUUUAAUUUGUCUGCUUAUAUUUUACGCAUCAUAAGUCGAUGAGUAAGAUGUCUAAAGUAUUUACCUCCUUGGAUUUGAUCCAAGGAAAGGUAACACUUUAGAACAGUUUCCUUGAAAGAUAUCAAGGAAAGAAGCAUCAUAAGAUAAUGGAUUUCUCCAUUGAGAGAAGAACGAACUCAAAUAAGAUUUAGUUCGUUGGAUGUUAUCAAUUACCCAUAUAUAAGAUAUACACUUCUAAGACAAUAUGAUUGUCAAUUAGAAGAUCUUCCAAAACUUUCAUGACUCCAUAGGAUGUAGUUGGAAAAAAAGACAAAUCUUAAUCAUGUUAAGAUUUGGGGUUGUGUGCUAAUAAGCAAUAGUUGUUUAAAGAAUUAUCUUGUGGGUAUUCUUAAAUUAACAUUUGGAUAUCACUUCUAUAAACCAACUAACAAAUGUUGUUUGUUGGGUAGCUCAUUGUAAUCCUACACUAGGAUUUGCCUAAGAUAGAGCAAAUGAACGAGGGAUAGAACUCAAAGAAUGGGUUCUUUAAGAUACAAGAUAGUGAUCAACAAAUAUAACAACCUAGUUCCUAUACCACAAGCUCCAAGGUAGUCAAGAAGGAUUUAUAAAUUGUCUCAGUUGAAUGGUUUGAACUUUAUGAUUAUGUCAUAGAGUUACACCUCUUAAUUCGAAAGAAAUAAGAAUGAAAAUCCUUAUGACUACAUUGAGUGUAUAUACGACAUAUACUCAAGGAAAUGGUAAAGUACCAUUUGACCCGAAAUAAUGAACCUUUAUAGCUAAUUGGUAGCUUAAGGUGACUACAAUCAAAGAGAUUGGUUGACUUUGAAGAAACCAUCUUUAACGUAGUCUUGGUUUCAAUUAAUUUGAAGAUUGCUAGCUACAACUAAAUGGUGAUUCAAUGUUUGGACAUAAUAUGGGUUUCCGAAACCAUUAUUAAGAUAGUCUUGAUAAUGUAUGUCUAAAACUAUGAAUCACAAGACAUGUAAGUUGUAAAGAUCCAUCCAUCAUGAAUCUUAGCAAGCUAGUGGGAGCUAUAAGCGUCUUAUGAGAGAAAAGAUCAAAUCGUUUGAUUUCUCAUAAAGAUGUAAAUGAAUCUUUUGUUUACUAGGUUUACAAAAGAUUAGUGGGAGUUAAUCAUGUUCCUAAAUUUGAAUAUAUAUAUAUACACAUAUAUGAUAUAUUAAUUUUGGAAAUGAAAAGAAUACUUCUUCGUUAAAGUUAUGACUUUAAACAUUCUAUAAAGAUAGAAUGUAUAUGGGAGACAUAGUCUAUAAACAUGGGAUGGAAAUCUAUAAUGAUAGAUUUCAGGAUAUAAUUGGAUUAUAUCAAGCCCUAAUGAUAGACAUAAGAUGCUAGGAAGUUUCUCAUAUGAUGAUAAACUUCAAUCAGAAGAACAACUCUAGUGAGACUAGGAGGUAGCUCUUUUCAAAGGGAACGUACCCUUUGACUCCCAAAUAAAUAAUGCGUAAAUAGAAUCCUUUAUGUAUACGCAAAAGGUGAUUUAUGUAUUUCAUAUUGUAUGAAAAACGUUGAUAUGAGUUGUACCAAAAUCGGUACAAGACUAUAUCAAUGCAAGCCCAGGAUCAGAACCAUGACAACUGUCAAGUGAAUCCUUAAGUAUUUGAGAAAUAAUAAAGGAUGGAUUCCUCAAGAAUGAGGAAGAAUUAGAGUAACGUAAUGGAAGCGUAAAUGUAUUAGAUUAUGAAUCUAAUCUAUUAUUGGAUGUUUCUUCAUUAUGAAUGAAGAGAUAAUCAGAUAUCUCUUUAUUAUAACUAAAGAGAUAUUUGGAUGGAAACAUUAAAAGUAAUGACUUUAGAGUGUUCCAUUAUGAAUGCAAAAUAUAUUGCCAUAUAGAAGCUUACAACAAUGUUGUUUGGAUGGGAAAGUUCAUUUAUGAACUCUUUAUUCGGUUCCAACCAGAAAGUGUCUCCAGUGUACCGACACUACGACACUAAUGAGGCGAUAGCUCAAGCCAGGAAAUCACGGUCUCAUCAAGAUCAGAACUCAAAUGAGAGACUGAACCACAUGAUUGAGAAUCAUGUAUAAUGGUGACGUCGUUAUUCUCAAGGUUGCUUCUAUGGAUAACAUAUAGAUAUCCAUUGCCUAGGCCUGCUACUCAGCCAUUUUUUGAAAUGACUACAGAAGAGGUAUCAUCAUUGAUGACCAAGCUGAUUGGCUCUAGUGCAAGUGGGAGAUUGUUAGAAAUGUGCCCUAAAACCAAUCAUAUGAUGAUACUUUACGGACAUUUCACAUGUUAAACUAAUCUAGUUUAAUAUCAAGGGUAAAGAUUAUUGUUUUAAGCCGUCUCAUAUAAAUGUUAUAUGCUUAAACGAUAAGUCCAAGGAAUAUGUAAUUAGGAGAAUGUAAUUUAAGGAAGUUAGAUUCAUGAAACCAUUCUCUUUUGUAUACAUAUCCUAAACGUUCCUGAUCAUAGGAUUGCCAAUUGGGCAUUGACAGUCCGUUAAGAUUAGUACGUGAUGUGUCUUCUCUCAAGAAGAGUGAUUGGUCUCGAGUCAUUGGUGUGAUUGACACUAAGACAAGCAUGUAGGUGCUCAAUAGAGAAUGAGUCCACUGAACACGAUCAACGAGGAGUUCUCAUACUCAUGUCACAUGAGAACUCAUGGUUGGGAUAAUGCAAAGUAGUCCUUUGACCUGAGGCAUCAUAGUUGUCUUAUGGUUAGGUCUUUGAUCUUUGACUAUGUCAAAGUCACUAUGUCAGAGGGUGUCCACGGCAUAGUUGGGGUUAAGUCACUUAGCCAUGGAGGCAAGUGAAUGCGCAACAAGGGAUCUCUAACCUUCAAACCGUUUGAGGGAGAAUACUCUAUAAUAUGAUUAAGAAUCUCUGGCCAGAGUAUGAAUGAGAUUUAGGAUAGUAGACAUGAUUAAACUAUCAAACCAAACAAUGUGGUCAAGAGUAUUGUACUAGAGAAAGAUCGUAUUGCAUUGUAAUCCUAAACUGAAUAGGUUCUCCACCUCUUCUGAUUAGCUUGGGUAACCAUGAUAUACUGCUAGGUGUCACUCAUGGUUUGUGGAAGUCCUAAACGUGUAUAAUCACUAAGGGGAGAAUUGAAAGUAAGUUUCAAUUCACAAUCGAUUUGAAAGAGUUCUAAUCGCCCACUGCCUCGCUAAAAGGAACCUAAUGGAUCGUACACCGUGUAAGGUAGAGAUUGAAGAAAAACCGGAGAUGAGUAAGGAUAAUUAAAUGGUUUAAUUAUUUGUGGCAAGGAUUAAUUAAUAUGUUAAUUAAUCAAACGAAUAAAGUUCGUUAAAGACCUCAGGUUAGUUUUGGGCCUCAAGGCCCAAUGGGCUUCGAACGUCAAGCCCAUUGACUUAAGUUGUAUGACAACUUAAUGACUAAAUAUUCACAAAGGUCCAAACAGCCCAAUAACACCCUAUGGCCGGCCAUAUUGAUAAAGGAGUGGGUUUUGGACUUAUUACAAGUUUGCCACUCCACUGAAGGUAGGUAUAAAUAUGACUUUAUAGCCUUUUCUUCAUUAGGGUUUCUUUUAGAGAAAAGAUGAGAACACAAGCUCCAUUUUUCUCUCUAAGAGGCCGGCCCCCUUGGAGGAGAUUAGCUAGCAAUCUCUCAUCCUCCAAGGUCACUUAUCUCUUCUUCAAGUCCAUCCUUGGUGUGGAAAAAUUAGAGGUUCUCAACUUUGGGAACUUGGAGAAUCCUUUCAACCAUCCUCAUCCAAGAAACCCAUGGAUCUAAGAAGCAAGGAAUGAAGGCCCUCUCCUUGGGUGAUUAGCCUUUGCUUAUGCAAAGAGGAAUCAACAAAGGUAUAAAAUCUCUCAACUCACUUUGUUCUUGAGUUGAGUCUUGGUUCACCUUUCUACUAGGCUUUGAAUUUCAUGGGUAAUGUUUUGUUUUGAGUGCAUACAAGCAUGAUUCCGCCUUUAAUUGUUAAUUGCAUGCCUUAGAUGUUGCUCAAAUGAACAUGUUUUUCACAAAAUUUCCUUCAAUCUAAACGCUGACAUCAAUAUUUGCAAAGAGAACCAAGUGACCAAACGAAAAAAAAAAAAAAAUGGAAGGGUCGAAAGAGGUGUGUAAAAUUCCUUAUUACGAUCUAAAUCGUUCCACACUUUGCCCAAAAUUUUCGGCAUAUGCUGGUACGACAAGGGGUUAUGGGAUGUAGAUCCAGGGAACCAAUCAGGUCAAGCAUUUCAAGAACAAGCUUAUGGUUGGGUGAGAAGUAAGAUGCAGGAAAGAGGGAGAGAAAAUUGGAUGGGAGAGAAAUGGGAAAACGACGAAAAAUGUCGGGAAAACGAUGAAAACACUUUGAAUCAGCAAAAGAUGCCAUGACCUCACAAUCCGACAACCAGAGGUAGCAGAAGGGCAGGUCACAAGCAUAGGGCAAAAAGGAACCCCGAGAGUGGUGGAAGCCAACAAGAAAGUGGGGGAGAGGAAGAGAGAAGAAAAAGAAAGAAAAAAGAAAAAAAUCAGGAAAAAAAAAUCCAGUCGGGGGAGGGGGAAGGUGGCUAUGGGAUGGGGAUGGGGAAAGGGCCAGGAGGAAAGAAGAGAAAAUGAGAGAAACCAGCCCAAGCCUGAGCAAGGUACACUUCAAAUUAAUGGUAUUCUUUUUCUUGUAAGUUGUGUGUGAGAGGUUAUAAGUUUGAAUCUCGUAAAUGGCGAGCUCAAAACCAAUUUACUCCCAUGCUCUCACCAUAAAUAUGUCGUUCUAUAUAAAAAUAAAAAAAUAAAAUAAAUUAUAAAUUCCAAGGUCUUGAUCUUUUCCUUGUAAUAUUUGUGACUCCUAAUAUAGAUCUCAUAAAAAAGAAGAGGAAGGCAAACUCAAAAGUUUGGAUGUGUUCCAAUGUCCUAAUCAUUUCACCCAUAUCAAUAUUAUCACCUUGGAUAAUCAACUCUAGCACCUUCGCAACGGAUUUGAACAUAGAAAUGAUACUAAUCAAUGUACCAUAACGUGGUCCCCAAUGUGUAUCAUUGGGUUACUUGAGACAAGUUUUUUUUAUGAGCCUCGAACCGUUGUAAGACAAUCAUUCUCAAGAGUAUUUGAAAUAUCGUAUCUAAGUGUUUCAAGACGCCUACACAGUACUCCAGUAGCAUUGACCAAACCAUUAGACUAUGUGAAAAAAGCGACUAUCUUACCAUUUGGUUUGCUACAACCACAAGUACUAGUUGAAGUUGAUGUACAAAACAACAAACAUAAAAUUAAUGCACACGAGUGUUCUCUCAAAUGAUACUUUUGAGACCAUUGAACCCACCUUUCAUAAUAGUUGCUCCAUCAUAAGCUUACCCACAUAACAUAAACAUGCUCAAUUUAGAUGUAGAAAACAAUUGACCAAUGACACUUUUUUGUGACUUGGAAGUGGUGUAACUGACAUAUUGAACUCCUAAAAGGAAGCGGAUCCCCUCCGGACCCUUUGAAACUGAGCCUCCUGACUAAGGGAUCUGGAUUGUUAAAAUUUGAUCUAAUGGCUACAAAUAGGGGGCCCCUCUAAAAGUUAUAAUAAUUGUAGCGGUUAAAUCAAAUUUCAACUGUCUGAAUCUCUUAAUCAAGAGGCUCAGUUUACAAGGAUCCAGAGAGAAUCUGGUUCCCUCCAAAAAACCUUUCAAUUACUUGCCCCUUGCCCACAUAACGAAGCACUACCUCCAUAAGCUCCUUUAUUGAAAUAUCAUAGGAUUCUUCAACAAUAUAGAAAAUAAUUUUUCUUUGGGAAAUUUUAAUUAAAUCCAUGUAACCUCUUUCUACACUCAACUUAAAAUUUAAAUGUGAAUUGUCUCCUUUACCCUAUUGCAUAAUUACCAUCCAGUACAAGAUGAAACAACAAUAAAACUAAAAUUUAUCAAUAAACCCACACCCAAUAAUCAAAUCCUACCAUCACACAAUCUUUAUCCUACUUUAAUUAUGGCUAAAACUUUAAGAGCUCUCAUAGAAAAAAACAAGCUCUUUUAUCAAUGGAUGGUAAUUUGAAGUUUUAAAUCCUCAAACUAAAGUAUGAAUCGAUUUAUGCAAGUAUUUUUCGCUUGAUUUCAAUUUUUUUUUUAAGUUUAGGAACAAAAAUUCGGUGAUAGUAGAGUUUCUUAUAUUUAUGUGCCCUAUGAAUGUUCCUUUGAAUUACAUCUUUACUUCUAAACUACAUUCGUUUUAGGCAUUAGAGAUUCUUUGGUCCUAUCUUGAUAAGCUUGUGCAAAUCAUUAAUCUUCCUUGAAUUUUGGUCGUUGAUUUCGAGGAUGUAAAGUUCAAUCUUCAAGCUUGACAAAAGAAGAAUUCCAAUAGAUGCCAAAAGCCUUGGAUCCAACUCCAAAACAAAGAACAUUGACGAAUCUAGAAACACUAUAACUACCUAAAAAAUAAUGGGAACUAGAGGCCAGCAAGAUGACUGAUGCUUUUCAAGACCGGUCUCAAAUGCAAGUUAAGCAACACAGCCAACUAGAAAGGGAAUGACAGAAACCAAGGGCGGAAAGCCAAGCAUUGGCCAGGUUACAUACACAGCAAACAGAAGAGCCAUGACCUUGAAUCCCGUGGUAAAGAAAGCAGAUGUCAAGUAUCCUCUUAUGCCGGUGAUGAGACCCCAUGUAUUUGGACUGAACAGCAGAUAUGGCUUUUGCACUCUAUCAGUUACAAGCAGGAAUGUUGCAAGACCCAUAUAAAAUAUGAAAGCAGGCAUAUGUAAGCAUGGGACUUUAUGUUUAUGCAACUAAAACUAUGGGGACAUGGAUAUCAAGAAAACAAGAUAUCGAACUGUUAUGUAUAUGGAAUAUUCAUAAACAAGUAGAAAUUUCACCAAAUUAUUCAACUUGUCCAUAAAAUUCGAACUCCAUAAAGCUUUUAUUCUCAUAAAUAAGUACAAACUUCACCAAAUUAUUCAUUUGGGCUUUUAUUUUCUAAAUGGUGUAAAGAUAAAUUUACAUUUUAAAUUGGGUUUGUUAGGGUAGUUUAGAUAGUAAAUUUGGGUUUAAAGAGAUAUUAAUUCUUUAACUAAAAAUAAUAUGAAUAUAAAAAAUAAGUUGAGUGUAGAAAUAUAUUAGAUGAGUUCAAAUAAAAUUCAUUUUUUCUUUCAUAUCAUCGGUUACAACUUUAACAAUUUCAAGGGACACUUAUAUUGACACGAUCUUUCUGGAAUGCGGUAGCCACAAGUUUGAUAUUUCCCUUGCAACACGACCUUAACUUCCUUAUCACCAUCUACAAGAAAUUGUGGAAAACCGAUAUAAUUCCCCCAAUUACAUGAUGUUGGUGAUUCAUCGUGACCAGAAAGGGAGGAAUUGGUGGUAAUAAGAAUCUAGUGCAAGCACUUAAUGCAUUCAAGCAUAUGACAAUGAGUCCGGAUUCUCGUUGAAUUUUCUUUAUGAGGAUUUCAGGAAUUUGUAAAUCGUGUCCGUUCAUCGCACAUUGUGCGAUUAGAGAUUAUUUUAAAUAUUUUUAUUUAAAAAUAAACAUAAAUAGUACUUGAUAAAAAAUGGCGCACGAUAUAUAAUGAACAUAUACGAUUUACAGAUUCUCAGAAUCCUUACCCAAAGGAUCCGGAGAGGAUCUAUUGGUAAUACAAUAAUUGUCACGAGCUUUGUUUAUUGCUUCAAAAUCUUGGUCAAAAGAGUCCGGCCGUGCAAAGGCAAAAUCCUAGCCUAAGACCAUCUCCAAUCCUGACCUAAAACCUAAAAAUAUUUAGCCCAGAAAAUUUAGGUUUUAGCCCAGAAACAGCUUUUUUACUCCAACCCUUUUGGCCUAAAAUUUUAGCCUCAGAUUAUCAAAAAAUGAAUUAAGGCUAAUUUUUUUUUAAAUUAACUUUUUAAAAAAAAUUAUGUAGACUAUCCUAAAUUAAUUUUAUGAACAUUUUAACCUAAAAAUAUUUAAAUUCAGAUAAAUUUUGAAAAAUCACUAAAUCAAUACAUAAAAAUCAUGAUAAACCACAUAAACUUAAAAAAAAAUAUUAUUCUAACCGUUGGAAAAAAAAUAUUUAAAUUCCGAUAAAUUUUAAGAUUAUUCUAGCCAUUGGAUUUACAUUUAGACCGUUAGAUCUUUUUUUUACCGUUAGAUUUGAUUAUAUUCGAUUUAAGCCGUUGGAUUCAAUAAUAUAUAAAUAUAAAACAAAACAAAAAUUGAAUGUGGACCUUUGGAUUAACCAACGGUCCAAUUACCAACACCACCCGAUGAAGAAAAGUAGCCGUUGGCUAUAGGACAAUGCCCACUUUUCACUCUCAUCUGUGGGUCCCAGCAGCUUUUGUGGGCUAAAUUUGUGACCUAUAUUUGCCUUCAUUUUAAGUUUUAGGUUUUAGGUUUGGUUUAGGUUUUGGGUUGGAGUGGAUUUAGGGGGGGGAAGGGGAAAAUUUAGGUUAUAAGUCACCAUUGGAGAUGGUCUAAGGGCUUGCCAAAAGGCAAGAUGACAACACGUUGACGUUAGCCAUAUAUAUAUAUAUAUAUUUUGUUUUUUGAAAGAUUAUAUUUACACAUCUUAAAUUAUUUUUUAUAUAUCUUUUUAGUUUUUUAAUAUUUUAUACACACCACUAACACUUGAUAGAAAAAUAUUAAAAAAUUAAAAAGAUGUGAAAAAAGUAAUUUCAAGUGUGUGAAUAUAAUCUUUUUUUUUUUUUUGUGUUUACAUGCACUAUGUGAGUGGGAGCAAAGGUACAUGUGGCUCGAUCUGGUACACUUUUCAUACUCUAAUCUAACAAUCCCAUUUAUUUCCUAUUAAAAAUUAAAAACAAUAACUAAAAAUUUAAAAAAAAUAAUUCGUUGAAAAAUUAUAGAAAAAAUUAUAAACUUUCAGAUUGUUUUUUUCUUCUAAAUCCUAAAAAAAAAAAAAUUAUGACUUUGUUUCCUAUAAAUAUUUAACCAUCGUCCUCAUUCUCUACGCCAAAACUCCAUACAAAUUUUUUUCUUUCAUAUCUUUGUUUGCCUAAAAACUAGAUUGUCAAUAGGGAUGACAAUAGUUUGGUUUAGGGAUGUAAGUGUCAUAUCUAUUCUUAUAACCACAAAAAUUAAUCAUAUCAAUAACCAUAAAUUAACCAUCGAGAAUUAUCCGUAGUUAUAUCCAUUGUAGUAUUUGCCCAGGCCCCCAUUUUGCCAAGAAAAAAUGGGUGGACUUAUCUUAAGGUGGGUCCCACUAGUUCAAGUAGUUCUCACAUUAUAUCUCUAUUAGAUGUAAAUAGAUCGUAAACAUAGUUUUUACAAUUAAAGUUUUCAUCUCAGUGUUGAAGAUGAUCUUACACGUACAAUUUUCUGUUACGGAUUGAACAAUGGGUAAGUCUCCAUUCCAGGAAAGAAACAAAUACCAUUAUAUAAUAUGUGUUAAACAACGUGCAAGUCUUCAUUCGAAUUUACCUGAUCUUGCUCCAUUAUGAUGUAGAUGCUGGAAAUUAUUCAAUAUGAUCCAACCUUAAGUAUGGCCUUUAUUGGUGUCGUUACUUGUAAGUGAAGGCUAAAAGGAAUUCCUAAUAUUAUACGGAUAUGAUUAUUAUCUUGUGGGAAUAAGGAUGGCCUUAGGGUUAGGGGUUUCUUUUAAGGAAAACUAAUGAAAAGAACUUGAAAACUUUGAGUUUUAACGAAAAAGACAAAAAUGUGUUGCAAGUGAAUAGUACCAUGAUUGAUAUUUUAGAGCUAAAAUGUAGUUUUUCGUUAAAAUGAACAGUACCGGAAGCUUUUCGUUAAAGUUCCAUUUCUUUUACGGACAGAACUCUACACUCCCCAUUGAGUUGUUGUAUCAAGGCUUGAGAGUUUAAAGAAGAUCGCAUGAUUCUCAAACUAGUUUGAGGUACUAUCCUGGCUGCUCUGCUAAGUCCUUCAGAUAUGUCUUCUUUCGGUGAUCUAUUUAUAUAAAUAUUCACGAUAACAGUAGAAUCUAAUAACCAAACAUAUAUAUUAUGUCAUCUGGUAAGAUACUAUUGCUCUAUAUAUGCAUAUUUGUGUAUGUACGUAUAUAUACCUAGACCUAGACCUGUAUGCUAAAUAACUAAUAUACAUAUAGAAAAAAUAUCCUUUACAACAGUGGGCCUAGCCAGGAAUUGUACGUAAUUGGGUCAGAAUACCAACAAAAGAAAACUUCACUAAACCAUUUUAUCGAGCAUCUAGUAAGCAUCUACCAAUUCAUGCCAACAUAUGCUCGAAGUUUAUGCCAACAUAUGUCAACAAGCACUAUUAUUUGUAAACGCUUGUUAAGGGUGGAUGCAAAAUUAUGUGGAGUAACGUUGAACACUGCUAAGGCUUUUCAACUAAGGUAUUUCAUUGAGCACAUUGUGGCACAAUACAGUCGCGCACAAUAAAAGUCGCACACAAGAAGAAAGAAAAGAAAGACAAAUAUGAUAGAAGAAAAUAGAAGCAUGAGGAAAAUGUUGUAAUUUAGUUUUCCUUAGUUGUUUAGAAGGGUCAAAUACAAUAUACAAACAAAUAUACAUGGAGUUUUGAAGUUGUUGAAAUUAAGAACAAUCAAUGACUCCAUGCUGGCUCCUCUACUAAUUUACAAUUAUAGUCAAUUGACACUAAAAUGAUUUAACGCAGUUUCAACAAAACUAUGGCUGUUUUUUUUUUUUUUUUUUUUUGACAAGAAACGAUAGCAUAGUCUUUCAUUAAUCAACACCAAACAAUUACAGAGUGUCAUUGGGUACAUAAUUCCAGUGACCAAUAAAUUGAUCUGGAAUGAAUUUGCACAAAACAGACAAAUAACAGUAAACCCUUAGUAGACACCCACAAACCACACAAUCGCCAUGCGCACAAGAACUACCAGUACAUAUCUAUCACAAUAAACGAUAGUCGCAACAGAGAGAUACCGGCAGACACAACGGUCAUCGCUGAAUAGCGAUGCCACAAAAAGUCAUCGCGAAAGUGCGAGAUCACAUCAAAGUCAUCGUUAGUGGACGAGACUCACAAUACACAAUGCACAAAGGCAAAGACCAAAUUAGCCAAAACACCAGUGCCACUGCGGUGCACAAGGGCGAGAGGAACUACAAUACACUGAGAAGGGAUUCGAUGUACAACUCAUAAUAGGGGGAACGAGGCACUCAUGCCAAGGGCACCUACAACUUCCGGACAGUGGGACGCCGACAUCCACACACAAGCCGAGCCGAACCGCAACGAGAUGUACAGGCAAAGCUCCCAGACCAAGCCCAUUUUCUAGAGCUGAGAGCACCGAAGCCAUCGAGGAGGGUGACUGAUGUGCAAAUUACUUGACACACAAAUUAACCCUCUUUUUGACAAUUGUAGUAUAGAUGUAAGUAGGGAUCGUUCUAGGCCGGGGAUUAGGAGGGAUUGCUAAACACUUGAAAACUGACUUAAAAACAUAAAAACAAAAUUUAAAACACUAAACUAGACUCAAAGAAUGCAAAACUAUACUUUAAAAUACUUAAACAAACAUAAAACUCAAAACAGCAACCUAAUGACUCAAAACUGCCUAAAAACCACUUUCUGGGCAGUUUUGAGAACCUAACAAGAACUUGGACGAAGUUGGAUGAAAACUUGAAUCAAAACACUUAGAAACACAAAUCAAAACACUUUCUAACUAAUCUAAGACUUCAAAAUAAAGGGGGAUUUGUUUUGGACGAAAAUUGAAAACAAAACAGAAACUUUAAAAUAAAACAGAUUGUAAAACGUUUUUGGAUGAAAAGGAUGGAUAAAAGGCUAGUUAGGAGGUUCUUCUCCACACAUGACACACUUGCAAACAAAAUGAUUUUCAGUUGUUCUUUCAAUAAAUUAUGAAACUCAACACCCCAAGUUAAUUAGAUACGCUUAAAUUAACCUUCAAGUUCUCCUUAAGUUAAUGAAUUGGAUGGAAAAGCGCAUACAACAAUUCAAAGCAUUCCUCAAAGGUUCCUUACGUGAUGAGCACAAUAAAGAUACAAUCAAGAAUCAUGAAGCACAAUGAGAACUAUAAGUGUUGACGAGGCAUUCGUUACUAUGAUGAGCAUGAAACUAGUGCCAAG
Molecule: long non-coding RNA, 15629 nt
Filed under: Malus domestica (apple)
Lineage: Eukaryota; Viridiplantae; Streptophyta; Magnoliopsida; Rosales; Rosaceae
Description: long non-coding RNA (MDOM_LNC010278)
Source: RNAcentral